AACCUCCGCAAUGUGAGAAAUCGCGACGGGGGGAUCCCAAGUGCCAUUCUUAACGGGAUGGCUUUUCAUUAGUGUAAAGAGCUUUUGGAAUAAGAGCUGGGCAAGACCGGUGCCAGCCGCCGCGGUAACACCGGCAGCUCUAGUGGUAACAAUUUUUAUUGGGCCUAAAGCGUCCGUAGCCGGUUUAAUAAGUCUCUGGUGAAAUCCUGUAGCUUAACUGUGGGAAUUGCUGGAGAUACUAUUAGACUUGAGACCGGGAGAGGUUAGAGGUACUCCCAGGGUAGAGGUGAAAUUCUGUAAUCCUGGGAGGACCGCCUGUUGCGAAGGCGUCUAACUGGAACGGUUCUGACGGUGAGGGACGAAAGUUAGGGGCGCGAACCGGAUUAGAUACCCGGGUAGUCCUAACCGUAAACGAUGCGGACUUGGUGUUGGGUGGCUUUGAGCUGCUCCAGUGCCGAAGGGAAGCUGUUAAGUCCGCCGCCUGGGAAGUACGGUCGCAAGACUGAAACUUAAAGGAAUU
RNAcentral lists this ribosomal RNA (520 nucleotides) under uncultured bacterium. RNAcentral's name for it is "bacterial SSU rRNA". It matches the Rfam family "Archaeal small subunit ribosomal RNA", at positions 345 to 866 of the family's 1478-position model. The record is from RNAcentral.